Balaenoptera musculus (blue whale) is the source of this 94-nucleotide vault RNA. Its record names the gene Vault. It matches the Rfam family "Vault RNA". Rfam says of the family: This family of RNAs are found as part of the enigmatic vault ribonucleoprotein complex. The complex consists of a major vault protein (MVP), two minor vault proteins (VPARP and TEP1), and several small untranslated RNA molecules. It has been suggested that the vault complex is involved in drug resistance. The record is from Ensembl. NCBI's taxonomy places the organism in Eukaryota, Metazoa, Chordata, Mammalia, Artiodactyla, Balaenopteridae.
CGGUCGGCUUUAGCUGACGCGGUUACUCCGUUCCGUCAGACUUUCUGAUUCCUAUAUUGGGGUUUGAGACCCGUGGAUGCUUUCUCACCCUUUU